CAUAGCAGCUGGCGCUGGCCGGGGGAGCUCUGGGCCCAGCAGGGACAAAUCAAGAAAGAUCCAGCUGCUCCUAAUUGUUCAAGGGCGGGAGCUUGGGCCUGCAAACGGCCCAUCUGCAGAGGAGGAGGCCGGUGGUCAGAGGCAGGAAUCGGGGGUGGAGGGACAUCAGUAGUUGGCAGGGUCAGACCGGAUUUGCCAGGAGAGCCAAUAGACAUACAAAUAUAAGAAGACACGUCGAUAACUUUGAACCCUAAAGUCAGCAUAGAGCACUGCACUAAAAAUCAUGAUAGCCAACCGGGAAAGGAAGGGAGCGAGAUGGAGGGUCCCAAAUUCUAUGGGAUCUAAACAGAGCAUGCUUCGUUCCAGUUGCAUUCCUGCUCCAUUCCAUUCCUCUUCAAGGAGGAGGACCAAUCCUCGUCUAUUAGAGAGCCCAAGGCCCAUGGGAGAGAUGUGAGAGAGAUGUUGACCCUGUCCCCCACCCCUGCAAAAUCGCCCAGUGCGUCCUGACAAGCAGGAUUAGUAGCAAUGUACUGCUUGCUCUUACCACUUAUAUUGUCCUGAUUUUCUUCUGUCGCUUUGGGGUUACUUAUCAUUUCAAUCUUUCCUUGUGUGUCAAUCACCAACCCUCCCUUGUUUCUGAAUGCGUAUCCCAUGUGAGCUUGAGUCCAUAUCUGAAUUAUCAUCCUUCACUCUUCCC
Long non-coding RNA from Ornithorhynchus anatinus (platypus), 697 nucleotides. RefSeq lists it as uncharacterized. The transcript has 3 exons. Lineage: Eukaryota; Metazoa; Chordata; Mammalia; Monotremata; Ornithorhynchidae. The record is from RefSeq and is a predicted model, not a curated record.